Molecule: ribosomal RNA, 433 nt
Filed under: uncultured bacterium
Lineage: Bacteria
Description: partial 16S ribosomal RNA
Rfam family: Bacterial small subunit ribosomal RNA
Source: RNAcentral
AACGAACGCUGGCGGCAUGCCUAACACAUGCAAGUCGAACGAGACCUUCGGGUCUAGUGGCGCACGGGUGCGUAACGCGUGGGAACCUGCCCUUAGGUUCGGAAUAACUCCCCGAAAGGGGUGCUAAUACCGGAUAAUGUCUUCGGACCAAAGAUUUAUCGCCUUUGGAUGGGCCCGGGUUGGAUUAGCUAGUUGGUAGGGUAAAAGCCUACCAAGGCUACGAUCCAUAGCUGGUCUGAGAGGAUGAUCAGCCACACUGGGACUGAGACACGGCCCAGACUCCUACGGGAGGCAGCAGUGGGGAAUAUUGGAAAAUGGGCGAAAGCCUGAUCCAGCAAUGCCGCGUGAGUGAUGAAGGCCUUAGGGUUGUAAAGCUCUUUUACCCGGGAUGAUAAUGACAGUACCGGGAGAAUAAGCUCCGGCUAACUCCGUG